Molecule: small RNA, 254 nt
Filed under: Cryptococcus neoformans H99
Lineage: Eukaryota; Fungi; Basidiomycota; Tremellomycetes; Tremellales; Cryptococcaceae
Description: Cryptococcus neoformans var. grubii H99 hypothetical RNA
Source: RNAcentral
CUUUCUUCAUUCCUCUCGUCAAUUCCCGGCCUAUCUUGUAUGACAUCUUUCCGCCAAUCAGCAGGGUUUUCAUACGGUAUACUGGAAAUAAGAACAGUGGCGGAACUGAUCCAACAGCAAAAACCUGUGCCGAAAGUGUCUCCAGUGGAAUGAUGUAAACUACCUUUGAAUGGGACGACUGAAAUAGAAAUGGAAACUGCGUGUUCCCGAUUGAUCGAUAAAGAACGGUAUGCAUCCAGAUUAUGUGGGUUUUC